UACGGGGGGAGCAAGCGUUGUUCGGAUUUACUGGGCGUAAAGGGCGCGUAGGCGGUCAGCACAAGUCAGUUGUGAAAUCUCCGGGCUUAACUCGGAAAGGUCAACUGAUACUGUGCGACUAGAGUGCAGAAGGGGCAACUGGAAUUCUCGGUGUAGCGGUGAAAUGCGUAGAUAUCGUUUGGAACGCCAAUGGUGAAAACAGGUUGCUGGGGAUGUGCUGACGCUGAGACACGAAAGCCAGGGGAGCAAACGGG
This 254-nucleotide ribosomal RNA is filed under the name uncultured bacterium. RNAcentral's name for it is "partial 16S ribosomal RNA". It matches the Rfam family "Bacterial small subunit ribosomal RNA", at positions 524 to 776 of the family's 1533-position model. The record is from RNAcentral.